RNAcentral lists this small RNA (171 nucleotides) under Crocodylus porosus (Australian saltwater crocodile). RNAcentral describes it as "TUC338 (ENSCPRG00005006639.1)". The record is from RNAcentral. Lineage: Eukaryota; Metazoa; Chordata; Crocodylia; Crocodylidae.
UUGACAGCUCUGGAAUCUGACAGCUUAUUUAUCCACAGAAUAGACACAGCAUGGGCAUCAGCAAUGCAAACUUCUCACAUUUCUCCAACAGUGCAUCUCAAUGUGACCCGCAGAGGCUGCUGCUAGGGGUGAGAUGUUAGCUCAGCCUCCGUUUUUUUUUUUUUUAGUCCU